Molecule: long non-coding RNA, 1014 nt
Filed under: Homo sapiens (human)
Lineage: Eukaryota; Metazoa; Chordata; Mammalia; Primates; Hominidae
Description: TWSG1 divergent transcript, transcript variant 1 (TWSG1-DT)
Source: RNAcentral
AGCUGCUCAACGCGAUUUCCCUUCGCGCUUCUCCGCACCGGGAUCCCCAGUCCCUCAGGUUCCGACAGACCCUCCUGUCAGGCCCAUUCUCCGGGCCCCCUCAGUUGCAGUGUUAAGAUCAACAGUGUUAAGAUUAAAGCCUUGUGAUGUGCUAGCCACUACGCUGAGGAUAUGCCGUGUACUAAAAUUCCUCAGGACUCCUCACAGCUGCCCUGUAAGGAAGCGGCCAUGGCCGGGUUCUAGCGAUGCGAGGCCGAGGCUCGGGGCGCUGAGUAGCCUAGCGCGUCGCCGAGGAGAGCUGGCACGUGAACCCCUUGUCGUUUGCCGUCAGAGGUGUUAUGUGGUGGCCCUCAUUCUCCAUGCAUGGAGCAGACUCUAGGAUCUGCAGUUACUGUAUGAUGAGCCCUUCUGAGUAUUUUGCUUGGGUGGACAGUUUAUGUGUCAGACUGGAAUCCAUCUGGAAGACCACUCAAUAACUUGUGAUUAGCUGGACCUGGUGAUGCAAGCCUGGAGUCCCAGUUACCCGGAGGCUGAGGUGGGAAUAUCGCUUGAGACCAGGAGUUUGAGGCUACAGUGAGCUGUGAUUGUACCACUGCACUCCAGCCUGGGUGACAGUGCAAGACCUCAUCUCUUAAAAAAAACAAACAACUCAAAAAACCUCAUCAUUGAGCACCUAUGAUGUGCCAGCAACUGUACUCAGUGGUGGGGACUUGACGACAAACAAACCAGGGAUGGGAUCCUUGAGCAGUCACCAUCUGACAAGUGACUGGGAAAGAUGAAUAAUGCCCUUCACCAAGAUUCUUCUCUGAUCCACAAAUUCAAUUACCAAUUUAUUUGUUCACUGCUCUUAAACUUAAAUAUUUUUUAGUAGGUAAUAAAGACAUGUUUAAACACUCUUAACUUUUAACAAUUUCUUUGUAAGUACUGUAAUAGUCUUCUUUUCCUUUAAAAAGAAAAAAUACAAAAAGAAGGAAAAGGAAAAUCUAUUCAAAAUAAAGUAUUCCAGAUAUCUGA